GAGAAAGUCAUUAUUAUUUAAAAGUACGUGAACUGCUUAGAGGUUAAACCCGAUGAACCUAAAUAUCCAGUAUAUUGUAAUCUGUUAAUGGCGAGUAUAUUAUUUUAUAAUGUAUUAAUAGUGUGCAUUUUUUUCAUAAAAAGGACUUACAUAUAAAUUAAUUUACAAUUUAUAUAUUCUUUUAUAUAUUAUUUUUAUCAUAAAGAGUCAUGUAUAAGUACAGUAUUAAAAUAUAUAAAUUAAUUUAUUAAUUAAUUGAUGUAAGAUCGAUGAAUUUCUAGAUAAAUAGUUAUGCAUUUAUAGCUAAUGCUUACAUAAUUUUUUAUGUUUUAUAUAUAAUAUGUACAUGUACAUAUAUAUGUUUUAAUUUUAUUAACAAUGCUAUAGAGUUUUAAAGCUUA
Molecule: ribosomal RNA, 401 nt
Filed under: Leva indica
Lineage: Eukaryota; Metazoa; Arthropoda; Insecta; Orthoptera; Acrididae
Description: eukaryotic LSU rRNA
Source: RNAcentral